RNAcentral lists this transfer RNA (71 nucleotides) under Marmota monax (woodchuck). RNAcentral describes it as "tRNA.Ala". It matches the Rfam family "tRNA". From Rfam's summary of the family: Transfer RNA (tRNA) molecules are approximately 80 nucleotides in length. Their secondary structure includes four short double-helical elements and three loops (D, anti-codon, and T loops). Further hydrogen bonds mediate the characteristic L-shaped molecular structure. tRNAs have two regions of fundamental functional importance: the anti-codon, which is responsible for specific mRNA codon recognition, and the 3' end, to which the tRNAs corresponding amino acid is attached (by aminoacyl-tRNA synthetases). tRNAs cope with the degeneracy of the genetic code in two manners: having more than one tRNA (with a specific anti-codon) for a particular amino acid; and 'wobble' base-pairing, i.e. permitting non-standard base-pairing at the 3rd anti-codon position. Lineage: Eukaryota; Metazoa; Chordata; Mammalia; Rodentia; Sciuridae. The record is from RNAcentral.
GGGGUUGUGGCUCAAAGGUAGAGCACUCUCCUGGCAUGUGUGAGGCACUGGGUUCAAUCCUCAGCACCACA